UCUACUAAAACUACAAAAAAUUAGCCAGGUGA
Molecule: non-coding RNA, 32 nt
Filed under: Homo sapiens (human)
Lineage: Eukaryota; Metazoa; Chordata; Mammalia; Primates; Hominidae
Source: RNAcentral